Molecule: long non-coding RNA, 416 nt
Filed under: Vulpes vulpes (red fox)
Lineage: Eukaryota; Metazoa; Chordata; Mammalia; Carnivora; Canidae
Description: lncRNA (ENSVVUG00000012881.1)
Source: RNAcentral
UUUCGAAUCAUUCUGUGGCAUUUCUGUUCCUCUUUUUUUUUUUUUUAAGGACUUGAGGACUUGUUCCAAGAAUUAAGAAAAAAAAAGAAAGAAAAGAGAGAAAAACCCCCAAACUUCAAGCCAUGUGGAUUUGUUUUCCAGGUGUUUUCACAUCCUCAGAGGGAUGAUGGUUGAAAGCAAAACUCAAGCUGAUACCUGCAGCAGAAAAAAACAAACCAGUGGACACAUUCCUGAAUCCAUGAUUCUUUCAUCCUUCAGGGGCUCCCGACCCGUGCAAUUCGAAUCAUCUCUGAUUUAUAGAGGAGGAAACCGAAGCUCAGAAAAAGUAAGUUACUUGUCCAGGAGCAGUUAUCUGGGAUCUGAAUUUGGGUCAGCCUGUCUUCAGAGUCCAAGCCCUUAACCUCUUCAUGACUAUA